Homo sapiens (human) is the source of this 552-nucleotide long non-coding RNA. Ensembl annotates it as ITGB1 adjacent tumor promoting lncRNA. Its record names the gene IATPR. NCBI's taxonomy places the organism in Eukaryota, Metazoa, Chordata, Mammalia, Primates, Hominidae. The record is from Ensembl.
GAAAAGUGAAGCUAAGAGAUCUAGCAUUCUGCAGAAAAGUACUGGAGAUGACUCAGGACUGAAAAUGAUCAUGAAGCCCCUUUGCAAAUAUCAAAGUGGUGAUGAAGCAGUCAUGAACUUUGACCAGAAGCCGUGUUUUGUGGGAUUGCCACUUUAAUCGCUCCUGUUCAUCAUUAGGACUGCAGCCAGAGUGUGGAAGGAGGGACUCCAAAUAUAUAAGAAGAUGCUACCACACCCUGGGAGAUUGGAUUCCCCACUGCGCUGGCUUUCUCAAGCUCUGUGAAAUGUGAUGUUGGCUGGAACUUAUCAUGAAGAGCUUUGCUGUAAAACAGAUCUGGGGUAAAGUGGGUCUUAAAAAUCCUUUCUCUAUACAUCCAUGUAGAUAGAGACCAUCUCCAUUAACAGAAGAGGGAAUGAUGCCAUUCUUAUAAAGAAGCUGUACUGUGGGCACAUUUAUUCCUAAGUUGAUAGUAGCUAUUUUAACUAUGAAAAGGAUCUGCCCAGAUGAAAGAGGGGCUGCCUGUGGAGCACAGCUGGAUGGGGGAAGCAAGG